CAUGAAAGGCGUAUACCAUUUCGCCAUUCUCGAUGUUAAAAGCUCGAUGUUAGACUAAACGUGGUUCUAUUCAAACCGUCGCUUCCUAGUAAUAUGGGACCUAUAGUUCUGCUACUCGUGUUUGUGGUCGUACUCAUAGAUGUAGACUUCGCAGCAGCAUUACCCAUUCCUAGAAAUAAGGGACAUUAGCCAGAGGUUUCUCUGGGGCUCACAUUUUGCUAGGCCCGCGAGGAAUAACAGCGGUAUCACAAAUAAAAACGAGAUUCCGGCCAGCACAGGGGCUUCCCUUUUGUUGUUACACUAGAAGUUUUUAAUCAGGUUGACUAAAAUUCCAAAUAAAAGUAGUAUUAGCGGUA
Nematostella vectensis (starlet sea anemone) is the source of this 356-nucleotide long non-coding RNA. RefSeq lists it as uncharacterized. The record is from RefSeq and is a predicted model, not a curated record. NCBI's taxonomy places the organism in Eukaryota, Metazoa, Cnidaria, Anthozoa, Actiniaria, Edwardsiidae. The transcript is spliced from 2 exons.